AUAGUGUUUGGAUUGGAGGUUCUAUUUUGGCUUCUUUAAGUACUUUCCAACAGGUGAGUGAAAAUUUAGAAUUUGACAUUAACAUUUACAUCUAUUGUCAUUCAUAUUCUGUGUUUAUAGUUGUUAGAAUUGUCUCAUAUCGGCCGCAGAUACGGCAAUUAGUCUCCUUAUAUGGUCUUGGUUAUAUUCACCUCGUGAAAUAACUUUUGAAAUGAUGAUUAUCCGAAACCAUAUAUGGAGACCAAUUAUCCCAUCUACGCAGCCGAUGGGGAACUAUUUCGUAUUGUAAC
Molecule: long non-coding RNA, 290 nt
Filed under: Nicotiana benthamiana
Lineage: Eukaryota; Viridiplantae; Streptophyta; Magnoliopsida; Solanales; Solanaceae
Description: long non-coding RNA (NBEN_LNC002101)
Source: RNAcentral